Carya illinoinensis is the source of this 442-nucleotide long non-coding RNA. RefSeq lists it as uncharacterized. The transcript is spliced from 3 exons. The record is from RefSeq and is a predicted model, not a curated record. NCBI's taxonomy places the organism in Eukaryota, Viridiplantae, Streptophyta, Magnoliopsida, Fagales, Juglandaceae.
CUCUGCUACGGAUUGUGUAGCUUUUGUUUAGGUCAGAUUUGUUGCAUCCUUCUUCACAUCUUUUAGGGUUUUUUUCUUUUAUUACUUUUUUGAUUUGGGUCUGUUGUGAUGAGAAUGUACACUCUCUCACCGAUGGCUUGUGGAAGCUCAGCUUUGACAUCCAUAUGCCAUAUGACAUCCAUCCGAGCCUUCUAGACCCGCCAAAGUCCAGUAACUUCAUGUGUACAAGUUCAACAAGCGCGAUAGUGGAAGCCCUGCCUACCUACGAUUGAGGCAUAAAUCGGUCAAUGCCCUCAGCGAUCUAGUCCCUUUUAGUAACAAGGUGCAUUGGAGAAGAUUUUCAGCAUCAUCAAAGAGGAAGGAGGAGGUUCUGAGGAAGGAGGUCUAGAAGAAUUUUCAAAGUUGUGUUUUGUAAUUUAUAUAUUAUAAUUUUGUGUUUGUU